GAUUUUUCAGAACCCAACUCCAACGGGCUUUUAGUGCGAAGUUUUCGGGGAGUGCCCUUUCUUUUCGAGCAUUUCGAAUCUCGCAUACUUCAACUGACUGUGUCUAAUAACGCUCUAGACUGCGAUCCCAAAUGCAAAUUAGGUAGCAAAAUGCUAGUGCCUCCAGAAAUCAACUUCGUAGACACGGUCUUGGUACAUUGCAACCGAAUCCAAUCUAUUACCGCAUGGGUUCGCUCUUCAUCAUCUACAACAAUAUCUGCCAAUGUAGCAAAUUAUUUGCACAUUCUGUCAUACCUCAACUGGCUUGGAGUACUAACCAAGCCAUCAUAGUUCAUUGUGACCCUCGUGUGGGCUUUACAAAUAUCUUUCCUCCAUUUUUUCAAUAUGUACCUUUUCGGCACUGAUUUGACGCCAUUACGCAUCAACAUUGAUAUGACAUGUCUGCAUAGAAUUCCCCAAAACUCGAACAGAUGACAACUAAAAGUAAUAUCGACCUCCUCUGCACGAAACAACAACAAAAUCUUUUUCAUCCUCGCCUUUUCUUCGUAAAUUACAUCCUCUUUGACCUCGUAUGUCUUUCCCGAACAUCCAUCCGAUGUAGAUAUGACGUCGCAGCGCAUCCUUCCAGUUAUCUCGUCUUGAAAUUCCCAAAACUUAGAUAUCGUAUAAACUGUCUGAAAUUGCUUUUUCAUUUCAUAUUUGGUUGCACACGGCACCAUUUUCGAGUAAAACUUAAACUCUGCUUGGAACUCUUUUUCAACUUUAUUUCGCAAUGCUCAUUCAUAUUGUUUUACGAAUUGUUUCAACGAUAUCUUGGAAUGAACAUACCCAUCAAAGAACGCAUUCAUACGCUCACUGUGUUGAGUAGUUGACAUCCCUGCCCAAAAGGUUGUUUUCAAAUAACACGGCACCCAUCGACCCCUAUUGUCAUACAACCCCAACAACCACUCAUUAUCAUAUAAGUUAUAUGUGUCAACCAUCAAUCUCCAACCUUUCUCAAAUUCUCCAGCAAAAUGUUAGUCAUAAACUAAGCCAUGUAUGCAUGAAAAUAUUUGUUUCUUAUCCUCGUGAUAACCAAAUUUUUUAGGCAACUUCUUCAAUAUAUGCCAUAAACACCAUCUAUGUCUCAUGUUCGAAAAAACUAUCUGAAUUGCAUUUUACAUUACCCUGUCUUGAUUGGUAAUAAUUCCGUUAGGAGCUUGACCAUGCAUGCACAGCAUCCAUGUCCUAAACAACCACACAAAGGUAUCUGUAUCCUCAUUAGAUAGCAACUACAUCUAAGCAUCGUUGAUUGUCCGUGAUGAUUUACUCCAACAAAUGGGGCAAGGGGCAUGUCAUAUUUAUUAGUGAGGUAAGUGAUGUCAAACGACACUACGUCCCCGAACUCCUUAUACGCUUGCCUACACCUUUUGUCCAUCCAGAAAAUAUUCUUAAGUCGUGACUCGUCGUCUAAAUCUAUAAAAAAAUAAAACCCAGAACAAGAUGCUUGCAUUCGAGAAAAGUAGGAUUGUAUUGCCGCGGCAUCUCCUUCACCUAUUUUUAAUCGCCUCACUUGUUCAACGUAAUUUCUACAAUCCUUUUCUAUGAACGUCAUAAUCUCGUAGCCACCGGCUUCAACAACUAUAGAGUUGUAACUCUUAUGCAAAGGAAUUUCGGCUGUGUCAUUCACCUCUAGCUUUCAUUUCACAUGUGCAGUCAAUUCUCGAUAGCAUCGAUACAACCUAGAUUUCAACGGACUUGUUUUACGAUUGUGCUCAAGUUCGACCGUGCAAAUUUUCCAUACUCCAAGAAUAUCUACAGAAGCAAUUAGCUUUGCUUUGCAACCCAUCUGAAUUGUUGGUUAUGGCCUUAAAGAAGUGCUUGUGUUAUAGUUUCUUCGUCCUUUAUGACUACAAGUCGACGUAACAUAUCUUACUAUUCCAUCCUCACCAUUCCUAGAAUUCCUUCUUCUCACCGGAAAACCAACGUCGUAUGCAUAUUUCUUGUAAAAUUCAUACAGUUCAUUCUCAUCAUUGAAUUUCAUACCGACCUUAGGAACAUUUGCAACAUCUCCUCCUAAAUUGUCACCUCCCAGCGUGAUUACAUUGUCCAACGAGUUCUCAUUAUUGGAUUCUACCAAUACUUCGUCAUCCACCACAUCCACUAUUUCUUUUCCUACGGCAAAAUGAGUGGGAAUAUAUUAGUGUUAUAACAAUAUAAAAAAACAACUACCCUAACUAUAUUCAUAAUUAGAUGAUUUCAAUAUACUAGAAUUGAAAUAACACGUUACCCAAUAGUGAAUAUCGAA
This 2287-nucleotide long non-coding RNA is filed under the name Olea europaea subsp. europaea. Lineage: Eukaryota; Viridiplantae; Streptophyta; Magnoliopsida; Lamiales; Oleaceae. The record is from RNAcentral.